AACCUUAAGGAUAAGACCCUAUCAAUAUUGCCUCUGCUUUUGUGAUCAGGGUAGUAGUGCAAUAUUGCUUAUAGGGUCUUUUCUUUGGAGGGU
RNAcentral lists this microRNA precursor (93 nucleotides) under Alligator mississippiensis (American alligator). RNAcentral's name for it is "microRNA ami-mir-454 precursor". Its record names the gene ami-mir-454. It matches the Rfam family "mir-454 microRNA precursor family". Lineage: Eukaryota; Metazoa; Chordata; Crocodylia; Alligatoridae. RNAcentral also lists the same sequence under 1 other name. The record is from miRBase by way of RNAcentral.